UGAUGGGCGGACUGAUCAGCCAUGCCGCGUGCAGGAUGACGGCCCUAUGGGUUGUAAACUGCUUUUAUACGGGAAGAAACGCGCCCACGUGUGGGCGUUUGACGGUACCGUAAGAAUAAGGACCGGCUAACUCCGUGCCAGCAGCCGCGGUAAUACGGAGGGUCCGAGCGUUAUCCGGAAUCAUUGGGUUUAAAGGGUCCGUAGGCGGGCCUGUAAGUCAGGGGUGAAAGUUUGUGGCUCAACCAUAAAAUUGCCUUUGAUACUGCAGGUCUUGAGUCAUGGUGGGGUUGCCGGAACAUGUGGUGUAGCGGUGAAAUGCAUAGAUAUCACAUAGAACACCGAUCGCGAAGGCAGGUGACCAACCAUGUACUGACGCUGAUGGACGAAAGCGUGGGUAGCGAACGGGAUUAGAUACCCCCGGUAGUCAA
RNAcentral lists this ribosomal RNA (428 nucleotides) under Flagellimonas lutimaris. Its description in RNAcentral is "bacterial SSU rRNA". It matches the Rfam family "Bacterial small subunit ribosomal RNA", at positions 366 to 797 of the family's 1533-position model. Lineage: Bacteria; Pseudomonadati; Bacteroidota; Flavobacteriia; Flavobacteriales; Flavobacteriaceae. The record is from RNAcentral.